This 429-nucleotide ribosomal RNA is filed under the name Bacteroidota bacterium. Its description in RNAcentral is "Bacteroidetes bacterium partial 16S ribosomal RNA". It matches the Rfam family "Bacterial small subunit ribosomal RNA", at positions 355 to 776 of the family's 1533-position model. The record is from RNAcentral. Lineage: Bacteria; Pseudomonadati; Bacteroidota.
UAGGGAAUCUUCCGCAAUGGACGCAAGUCUGACGGAGCAACGCCGCGUGAGUGAAGAAGGAUUUCGGUUCGUAAAACUCUGUUGUUAGAGAAGAACAGCGCAUAGAGUAACUGUUAUGCGUGUGACGGUAUCUAACCAGAAAGCCACGGCUAACUACGUGCCAGCAGCCGCGGUAAUACGUAGGUGGCAAGCGUUGUCCGGAUUUAUUGGGCGUAAAGCGAGCGCAGGCGGUCAAUUAAGUCUGAUGUGAAAGCCCCCGGCUCAACCGGGGAGGGUCAUUGGAAACUGGUUGACUUGAGUGCAGAAAAGGAGAGUGGAAUUCCAUGUGUAGCGGUGAAAUGCGUAGAUAUAUGGAGGAACACCAGUGGCGAAGGCGACUCUCUGGUCUGUAACUGACGCUGAGGCUCGAAAGCGUGGGUAGCAAACAGG